UGGGGAAUAUUGCGCAAUGGGCGAAAGCCUGACGCAGCGACGCCGCGUGCGGGAUGAAGGUUUUCGGAUCGUAAACCUCUGUCAGAAGGGAAGAAACCGCACUGUGCUAAUCAGCAGUGCCUUGACGGUACCUUCAAAGGAAGCACCGGCUAACUCCGUGCCAGCAGCCGCGGUAAUACGGAGGGUGCAAGCGUUAAUCGGAAUUACUGGGCGUAAAGCGCACGUAGGCUGCUUUGUAAGUCAGGGUUGAAAUCCCACGGCUCAACCGUGGAACUGCCUUUGAUACUGCUUAGCUUGAAUCCGGGAGAGAGUGGCGGAAUUCCAGGUGUAGGAGUGAAAUCCGUAGAUAUCUGGAGGAACAUCAGUGGCGAAGGCGGCCCCCUGGACCGGUAUUGACGCUGAGGUGCGAAAGCGUGGGGAGCAAACAGG
This 429-nucleotide ribosomal RNA is filed under the name Fusobacteriota bacterium. Its description in RNAcentral is "Fusobacteria bacterium partial 16S ribosomal RNA". It matches the Rfam family "Bacterial small subunit ribosomal RNA", at positions 355 to 776 of the family's 1533-position model. The record is from RNAcentral. Lineage: Bacteria; Fusobacteriati; Fusobacteriota.